GACGAACGCUGGCGGCGUGCUUAACACAUGCAAGUCGAACGGAAAGGCCCUGCUUUUGUGGGGUGCUCGAGUGGCGAACGGGUGAGUAACACGUGAGUAACCUGCCCUUGACUUUGGGAUAACUUCAGGAAACUGGGGCUAAUACCGGAUAGGAGCUCCUGCUGCAUGGUGGGGGUUGGAAAGUUUCGGCGGUUGGGGAUGGACUCGCGGCUUAUCAGCUUGUUGGUGGGGUAGUGGCUUACCAAGGCUUUGACGGGUAGCCGGCCUGGGAGGGUGACCGGCCACAUUGGGACUGAGAUACGGCCCAGACUCCUACGGGAGGCAGCAGUGGGGAAUAUUGCACAAUGGGCGGAAGCCUGAUGCAGCACCGCCGCGUGCGGGACGACGGCCUUCGGGUUGUAUACCGCUUUCGCCUGUGACGAAGCGUGAGUGACGGUAAUGGGUAAAGAAGCACCGGCUAACUACGUG
RNAcentral lists this ribosomal RNA (468 nucleotides) under uncultured bacterium. Its description in RNAcentral is "partial 16S ribosomal RNA". It matches the Rfam family "Bacterial small subunit ribosomal RNA", at positions 28 to 507 of the family's 1533-position model. The record is from RNAcentral.